UCAAGAUGUUGAGUAUUGAUUACUAAUCAACUACUAGCCUGGAAGAUAAAAGCCAAAGCUGUAAACAGACAGGUCAGGUAAAUAUAUGAAUGAAGAAAUUGAAACUAGAAGUAAACAUCAUGGGAAGUCUAAUUAUAGGGCAAGUAUUUUUCCUUCAUAUCUUAUUUAACAUAGUCAAACCAUGCAAUACUUAUAGGCUUAACUAUUGUUUUCAUAGAAACAAUGUUAUUUUAAAUAUCAUGAGAUAGCAACAAAUAUUCCUUGGUAAUCUGCUAUCAGAUGACAGUUAUCUCUUUGGCAUUUUUAUGAAUUAAAGCUUUCAAAGCCAAAGUAAGACUUAAUUUUUUCUUUUCUUUAACUGCUAAUUCUAAAAUAAUUUAUCAUUGCAUGUUAAAAAUAACUUGUUAUACAUUUUUCUGUGUUUUUGGUCAAGCUUCAGAUUUGCUUAGCAUAUUCCUGUACUACAUAUCAACAAAUGUUUGAUGGUUUGUCUGGUUCAUCUCUUAACACUAUGAAGAUGGCUACACUAAUCUUAACAAGCAAACAUUCUGUUGCCAACAGUACCAAUUUGUCAUCCUAUCCAAGCAACUACUAUUCCUUGGUAAUCUGCUAUCAGAUGAUUACAGUUUUCUCUUUGGCAUUUGUAUGAAUUAAAGCUUUCAAAGCCAAACCUUAGAUUUGGUUAACAUAACCCUGAACUGCAUAUCAACAAAUGUCUAAUGGUCUGUCUCAUUUCUCAAGACUAUGAAGAUGGCUACACAGGUAUCAGCUAUCAGCAGUGCACCCCUAUGAUACACAAGUCUUCAUUGCCAAGUCACUCUGCCAAACAGUGUGUACACCUUUCUUGCAUUGGUAGUGACCCACUUUACUGUCAUGAGUCUGGAUAUGUCAGGCCAAGGAGAUCAAACAGACUCUACAUGCUACUGAUCUGGAGGUUAGUGGCUCAAUCAUUGUGCACUGAUUCUUCACUGAUGCCUUGAUUCCCCACUGUCAACUUUAUUGUCAUAAAGUUUAUCUAGUGAUCUACAUAUCAAGACUAAAUGGUCAAUUAAACAUGAGGUCAAGGAAAAAGGAUGAACAUUUCAAGGCUACUGAAGGAACAUUAAACGUCUCUCUCACUGUGAAAAGAUUCUACCGAUCUACAAAUGAUCAACAUGUUUUAUCUUAAGUUCGUCUGCCAUUUCUUCAAAUGGAGCCAUAUUAAGAAUAAGAUUCUUUUUGUUCUUCCUUAGGUUCAAAUGUAUCAGUUGUUUUUGUUGACAGAUAUCAAGUUUAGUUGCCUACCAGCAGUUUGGUGCUACAAGUCAACAACAGUCAGACUAAAUUAAAUAAAGCCAUGUCUAUUUCUACAUGAUUUUGUUGCUACUAACCUGGUGUUACUAACAACUAACUCGAAAAGGGAGAGGGGAAUUAUCAUCUUAUUCAUGUACUAUUUACAUUAGAUUUUUACCAAAUUAUUAAAUUUUUACUACCCUUACUAUUUUAACUGUGAAUAGACCUUGAUUUUAAUGAUUUAGCUGUAUAGAAUUUAGCCCCUGUUAUGUAGAGAGAGAGAGUAGUCUUUAAGGGACUGCAGGCACGACAUGGCCUAAAUUGUGCAGAUGUGCAUAAAAUCAAAGAAAUAAAACAUUAACAAAAUGUGUAUUAUAAUUGUCACUUUUCCUCUACUUAGAAUUUUUUUCUCUCCUAGAUUUUCAUAAUUUUUUGUUGAAGUCAUUUCAGUUCUCAAUUAUUUUGUGCACCAAGUUACAAGAAAAAAUUUAAGCAAGAGAGGUCACUACACUAAGACUUUGUCUUCUCAUAAGAAAGGAUGGCUGCCUGGUCAUGUGAUAUGUGCACUGGACUGUGUAUGGUCAUCUUGAUGCUCAUAUCUUGCCUGAUGACAUUUAUUCUGCGAACAUUUGGUCAAGGAAGUAGAUUCUCUUCAGCUCUCAAGAAACAUUCAAAACAUGUCAAACAUUCGACAAGAAUAUCAAGUGCAAUGUACAUACCAACAUGAUGAAAAGGUAGACAACAUGAAGAUGUAGACCAACAUGAAGAGGUAGACCAGCAUGAUGAAGAUGUAGACCAACAUGAUGAAGAUGUAGACCAACAUGAUGAAGAUGUAGACCAACAUGAAGAGGUAGACCAGCAUGAUGAAGAUGUAGACCAACAUGAUGAAGAUGUAGACCAACAUGAAGAUGAAAUGUAAACCAAAAAAUGGGUCAAGAGAUGUAUGGAAUACAAUGUGAACAUCUUGAGAAGUAAAACAAUUCCUAGAGGCAAAGACACAGACACACCGGAUCUAUUAGAGAUUUUCCUUUUCUACCAUCAUUUAGAGACUUCCUUGUGCUCUAAGGGAAUAUGUCAUUAUCUUUUGAUUGCUAAUUGGCAUUGAUGUUUUUACAUUCCUACUGCGUCUGAAAGAAAUUAACAUUUCCCUAAUGCUACUUCAAAACCAGAACUUCUCAAGACAAUUUUAGUGACCAAGCUGCAAUAUGGGACUCAGUAGGAAACAAUGAAGAAUGCUCCUAACCUCAGGUUGAGUAACCAUGCUCACCUACUAGAGUGGCGACAAAUACUUCUACACCCACAGUUAUACAUCCUGAACCCUGUAACCCAACCUCACAACAUGGUUACAUUACCGGAAGUGGUCGCAAGGUCAGAAAACCUAACAGAUACAAUGGAUAGAACAAUGAACAGGUACAAGUACUCAAGUGAUGUACUUUGUGAGAACUAUUUAGGUGGAAUCACCAUAAUUGACUUGUAUAAAUCUUGUUCUAUAUUUAGGUAUAUCUUGACAAUCAGUCCAGUCAUUUGUUCAUUUUUUUUUUAAAUAUUCCUUUUUUUCCCCUCAAUCUUCUUGUUGUUUCAGUUACAUGUUUUUGUAUUUUGAAGGAGGAAGGUGCUUUGGUAUAUUAUCCUUAUUAUUUAUUAUUGUACCAGUAUUAAGCAAACUUGUAUAUCUUUAAUUAUUCAUGAAUUCUAAAGCAGAACGUCACUUCCACCGAAAAAUGUUGUAACAACUAUACGUGUCUUCAGUUAACAUUCAAUACUCUGUACAGUCACAAUGCCAAAGCCUUGCUAGAUUAUGCUUUUAAUUCAAUUUGUUAUCUCCCCUGCUUUAGUGUGCUAUCAUAUAAUUUUUUGUGUCACAUCCCUGCACAAUUUGUUCUAUGCUUUUUUACAGUAUAAAUAGCGACUUGACAUUAUUUAGCUCUAUUAUAAUAUUGUUAUAUUAUUAUAUUUAAAAUAAAACUGUUAACAUAUUCUAUGCUGUUAUAAUAUAAAUGUUUUGCUGUUACCAUGAAUACAGUUUUGAGUUUUUGUCUGAUAUCUUAGAGGAGAAAUUUUUCAUAAAUAAUAAUAAUAAGGCUUAUCUUCAAGUCCGAAGAUUAGUGAGAAGUAUGCAGUAUUCCCCAGCUAGGACCUACAUAUUUUGCUAUAAAUAAAGAGUAUAAUAAUAUUUACUACUUGGUAUUGUCAGUCUUCACUAAAGCAAUGAGUUUAUCCCCUUAGUGUGUUUAAAAUUUUCAAAUACUAAUUCACUUUGUAUUAUCUAUUGGUGAUCAUGGGGUAUCCACUUUGUCAUCUCCAUAGUCUCUGGUGUUAACACUCAGUGUCCUGUUGGAGGUUACGGCUAAGAUGUUAUCUCUCUUUCUGAUGGAACACAUGUAAAACCAACAAAACAAACAUUAGACCUAGACUUUAUUAACAGGUAAAUUUUUAUAAUUGUGAACUGGCGCUCCCAAAACUACUUUUAUGUAUUUUAAAUUUUACUUCUGUAGGCUAGUGCUAAGCUGUAUACUUGUAUUUCUGCCUAUUAUAUGGGUUAGGGUGGAGUACUUAAAAUAGAGCCUAUGCUGUUUCCUGUACUGUUGACCAGUGGUCUCUGUGUCAGUUUUAAUUAUUCUGUACCUGGGACUGCCUGUAAGUUUCAGAAUUUUUAUUUUAUUUUUUAAAAUUUUACUAUGUGUAAAUCUGUUUUAUAUUUGAACAACUGUCAAAAUAACUCGCAGUUUUUUUUCUCUAAAGUUUGUUUUAAAAAUAUGGCCAAGCCCUGCCCAGUGCUGUCAUGAUGGCCACUUCUAGUGUUUAUGUACUAGAUUGUAACUGCUGCCUUAGUCAUUGAAAUUAAAGUCUCAUUUUUGAAUUUC
Molecule: long non-coding RNA, 4136 nt
Organism: Biomphalaria glabrata
Lineage: Eukaryota; Metazoa; Mollusca; Gastropoda; Planorbidae
Exons: 10
Source: RefSeq, a predicted model, not a curated record